AACGAACGCUGGCGGCGUGUUUAAGACAUGCAAGUCGCACGGUAUCAGAUAUGUAGCAAUACUUGUCUGGUUCAGUGGCGCACGGGUGAGUAACACGUGAAUUACAUGCCCUUUAGAGGGGGAUAGCCCAGGGAAACUUGGAUUAAUACCCCAUGGUCUCGCAAGAGUAAAGGUGGCCAGCAAUGGCUGUCGCUAAAGGAUUGGUUCGCGUCCUAUCAGCUUGUUGGCGGGGUAACGGCCCACCAAGGCAACGACGGGUACCUGGUCUGAGAGGACGAUCAGGCACACUGGAACUGAGACACGGUCCAGACACCUACGGGUGGCAGCAGUCGAGAAUAAUUCACAAUGGGGGCAACCCUGAUGGUGCAACGCCGCGUGGAGGAUGACGGUCUUCGGAUUGUAAACUCCUGUCAUCUGGGAGUAAGACCUGGUCGUUAAUAGCGGACAGGGUUGAUAGUACCAGAAGAGGAAGGGACGGCUAACUUCGUGCCAGCAGCCGCUGUAACAC
RNAcentral lists this ribosomal RNA (508 nucleotides) under uncultured bacterium. RNAcentral describes it as "bacterial SSU rRNA". It matches the Rfam family "Bacterial small subunit ribosomal RNA", at positions 29 to 526 of the family's 1533-position model. The record is from RNAcentral.